This 141-nucleotide ribosomal RNA is filed under the name uncultured bacterium. RNAcentral's name for it is "partial 16S rRNA". It matches the Rfam family "Bacterial small subunit ribosomal RNA", at positions 355 to 511 of the family's 1533-position model. The record is from RNAcentral.
UGGGGAAUUUUCCGCAAUGGGCGAAAGCCUGACGGAGCAUAGCCGCGUGGAGGUGGAAGGCCUACGGGUCGUCAACUUCUUUUCUCGGGGAAGAAACAAUGACGGUAUCUGAGGAAUAAGCAUCGGCUAACUCUGUGCCAG